AUUGAACGCUGGCGGCAGGCCUAACACAUGCAAGUCGAGCGGUAGCACAGAGAGCUUGCUCUCGGGUGACGAGCGGCGGACGGGCGAGUAAUGUCUGGGAAACUGCCUGAUGGAGGGGGAUAACUACUGGAAACGGUAGCUAAUACCGCAUAACGUCGCAAGACCAAAGAGGGGGACCUUCGGGCCUCUUGCCAUCAGAUGUGCCCAGAUGGGAUUAGCUAGUAGGUGGGGUAACGGCUCACCUAGGCGACGAUCCCUAGCUGGUCUGAGAGGAUGACCAGCCACACUGGACCUGAGACACGGUCCAGACUCCUACGGGAGGCAGCAGUGGGGAAUAUUGCACAAUGGGCGCAAGCCUGAUGCAGCCAUGCCGCGUGUAUGAAGAAGGCCUUCGGGUUGUAAAGUACUUUCAGCGGGGAGGAAGGCGGUGAGGUUAAUAACCUUGCCGAUUGACGUUACCCGCAGAAGAAGCACCGGCUAACUCCGUGCCAGCAGCCGCCGUAA
This 504-nucleotide ribosomal RNA is filed under the name uncultured bacterium. RNAcentral describes it as "partial 16S ribosomal RNA". It matches the Rfam family "Bacterial small subunit ribosomal RNA", at positions 29 to 523 of the family's 1533-position model. The record is from RNAcentral.